RNAcentral lists this ribosomal RNA (405 nucleotides) under uncultured bacterium. Its description in RNAcentral is "bacterial SSU rRNA". It matches the Rfam family "Bacterial small subunit ribosomal RNA", at positions 355 to 774 of the family's 1533-position model. The record is from RNAcentral.
UGGGGAAUAUUGCACAAUGGGCGAAAGCCUGAUGCAGCAACGCCGCGUGAGCGAUGAAGGCCUUUGGGUCGUAAAGCUCUGUCCUUGGGGAAGAAAAAAAUGACGGUACCCUUGGAGGAAGCCCCGGCUAACUACGUGCCAGCAGCCGCGGUAAUACGUAGGGGGCAAGCGUUAUCCGGAAUUAUUGGGCGUAAAGAGUGCGUAGGUGGAUACUUAAGUCAGAUGUGAAAAUCCCGGGCUUAACUUGGGAACUGCAUUUGAAACUGGGUAUCUAGAGUGCGGGAGAGGAAAGUGGAAUUCCUAGUGUAGCGGUGAAAUGCGUAGAGAUUAGGAAGAACACCAGUGGCGAAGGCGACUUUCUGGACCGUAACUGACGCUUAGGCAUGAAAGCGUGGGGAGCAAACA